CCAUGGUGUUCAACAGGGCUCUGUGCUCGGCCAAAUUUUAUUCUCAUUAUAUAUGCUUCCACUAGGAAACAUUAUCAGGACACACUCGGUAAAUUUCCACAGCUAUGCGGACGACACCCAGUUAUACUUGUCAAUAAAACCUGAACAAAGUAAUUAAUUAACUAAACUUGGAACAUGUCUCAAGGACAUAAAAACCUGGAUGACCCGCAAUUUUCUCUUAUUAAACUCAGAUAAAACAGAGGUUAUAAUACUUGGCCCUAAACACCUUUUAGAGAUACAUUAUCUCAUGAUAUAGCCGGCUAGACGACAUUACCCUUGCUUCCAAUGAAACAGUCAGGAACUUGGGAGUGAUCUUCGAUCCUGAUUUAUCCUUUAAUAGUCACUUAAAACAAAUUUCUAGGACUUCCUAGUCUUGCGUAAUAUUUCAAAAAUUAGACUUUUCCUUUCAGAAAAAGAUGCAGAAAAACUAGUCCACGCCUUUGUUACAUCGAGACUGGACUAUUGUAAUUCAUUAUCAGGCUCCAGCAGUAAGUCAUUAAAGACUCUACAGCUUGUCCAAAAUGCCGCAGCACGUGUCCUGACAAGAACCAAGAAAAGAGCACAUUUCUCCAGUAUUAGCAUCGCUACCCUGGCUUCCAGUUAAAUCUAGAAUAGAAUUUACAAUUCUCCUCCUCACCUUCAAGGCCCUUAAUAAUAUAGCGCCUUUUUACCUUAAAGAGCUGUUAGUACCUCAUAAACCCACUAGAGCACUGCGCUCCCAGAAUUCAGACCUACUUAUCGUCCCUAAAGUCUCUGAAAGUGGAGUAGGAGCCAGAGCUUUCAGCCAUCAAGCCCCUCGGCUGUGGAAUAAUCUACCACUUUCAGUUCGGGGGGAAGACACUAUCUGUUCGUUUAAGAGUAGGCUCAUAACCUUCCUUUUUGAUAAAGCUUUUAGUUAGAGCUAAUUAGUGCGGCAGAACAUAACAUGUUCUAUUUUAUGACACACGGAGCUUCUCUUUCCAGCUUCUCCUUCCUCUUCUCCAUCCCUAUCCCUCUUCCCUGGAAUCCCUUUGCUUUAUCACCUGCAGAUCCAGGGCCUCUGUUGCCGCACCAUGGAUUGCGGUUUUUGGAUCGCGCACCGGGGGUCGCGGUGGUGGAUCCAGAGUGGCGGAUUCUGUGUCAUGUGGGCUGAUCGUGGUGCUGGUGGAGGACCCUGUGUCGCGUUGGCAUUGGGUACAGGCGGUGGACCAGGACCGCGGUGGUGGCUCCUAAUGGGUCCUGGUGGGCGGCGGUGGACAGUGACUGAGGACUGGAGUGGUGUCUGGUCUGGAUGGUGGAUCGUGGUCCGGCCGGUUGCUGACCAUGAACUAUGGAGCCAGCAAGAAAGAAGAUUUUCUCCUGUCUAGGAACAAUUUGACCUGAUCUCUCCUGAUAAGGUGAAGUGUCUGUUGUGUUCAAAAGAACUUGGAUACAACAACACCUCAUCUAUGCUGAGGCAUUAUAGAGCCCUGCAUGAGCACAUGGAGACCAACCGAGGUCGACCAAGC
Molecule: long non-coding RNA, 1526 nt
Organism: Platichthys flesus (European flounder)
Lineage: Eukaryota; Metazoa; Chordata; Actinopteri; Pleuronectiformes; Pleuronectidae
Exons: 3
Source: RefSeq, a predicted model, not a curated record